RNAcentral lists this ribosomal RNA (2869 nucleotides) under Acinetobacter baumannii MRSN 7341. RNAcentral's name for it is "bacterial LSU rRNA". It matches the Rfam family "Bacterial large subunit ribosomal RNA". Lineage: Bacteria; Pseudomonadati; Pseudomonadota; Gammaproteobacteria; Moraxellales; Moraxellaceae. The record is from RNAcentral.
UGGCAGUCAGAGGCGAUGAAAGACGUGAUAGCCUGCGAAAAGCUCCGGGGAGGCGGCAAAUAUCCUUUGAUCCGGAGAUGUCUGAAUGGGGGAACCCACCUACUUUAAGGUAGGUAUUGCAACAUGAAUACAUAGUGUUGCAAGGCGAACGAGGGGAAGUGAAACAUCUCAGUACCCUUAGGAAAAGAAAUCAAUUGAGAUUCCCUCAGUAGCGGCGAGCGAACGGGGAUCAGCCCAUUAAGUUAUGUGUGUUUUAGUGGAACGCUCUGGGAAGUGCGAACGUAGAGGGUGAUAUUCCCGUACACGAAAGGGCACACAUAAUGAUGACGAGUAGGGCGAGGCACGUGAAACCUUGUCUGAAUAUGGGGGGACCAUCCUCCAAGGCUAAAUACUCCUGACUGACCGAUAGUGAACCAGUACCGUGAGGGAAAGGCGAAAAGAACCCCUGUGAGGGGAGUGAAAUAGAUCCUGAAACCGCAUGCAUACAAGCAGUGGGAGCACCUUCGUGGUGUGACUGCGUACCUUUUGUAUAAUGGGUCAGCGACUUAUAUUCAGUAGCGAGGUUAACCGUAUAGGGGAGCCGUAGAGAAAUCGAGUCUUAAUAGGGCGUUUAGUUGCUGGGUAUAGACCCGAAACCAGGCGAUCUAUCCAUGAGCAGGUUGAAGGUUGGGUAACACUAACUGGAGGACCGAACCCACUGUCGUUGAAAAGCCAGGGGAUGACUUGUGGAUAGGGGUGAAAGGCUAAUCAAGCCUGGUGAUAGCUGGUUCUCCCCGAAAGCUAUUUAGGUAGCGCCUCGGACGAAUACCAUAGGGGGUAGAGCACUGUUUCGGCUAGGGGGUCAUCCCGACUUACCAAACCGAUGCAAACUCCGAAUACCUAUGAGUACUAUCCGGGAGACAGACUGCGGGUGCUAACGUCCGUAGUCAAGAGGAAAACAAUCCAGACCGCCAGCUAAGGCCCCAAAAUCAUAGUUAAGUGGGAAACGAUGUGGGAAGGCAUAGACAGCUAGGAGGUUGGCUUAGAAGCAGCCACCCUUUAAAGAAAGCGUAAUAGCUCACUAGUCGAGUCGGCCUGCGCGGAAGAUGUAACGGGGCUAAAACUAUGUGCCGAAGCUGCGGAUGUAUACUUUGUAUACGUGGUAGGGGAGCGUUCUGUAAGCCGAUGAAGGUGUGUUGAGAAGCAUGCUGGAGGUAUCAGAAGUGCGAAUGCUGACGUGAGUAACGACAAAACGGGUGAAAAACCCGUUCGCCGAAAGACCAAGGGUUCCAGUCCAACGUUAAUCGGGGCUGGGUGAGUCGACCCCUAAGGCGAGGCCGAAAGGCGUAGUCGAUGGGAAAAUGGUUAAUAUUCCAUUACUUCUGUGUAAUGCGAUGAGAGGACGGAGAAGGCUAAAUCAGCCUGGCGUUGGUUGUCCAGGUGAAAGGAUGUAGGCAUGUAUCUUAGGCAAAUCCGGGGUACUCUAUGCUGAGAUCUGAUAGCAAGCUGUACUUGUACAGCGAAGUGGUUGAUGCCAUGCUUCCAGGAAAAGUCUCUAAGCUUCAGUUACACAGGAAUCGUACCCGAAACCGACACAGGUGGUCAGGUCGAGUAGACCAAGGCGCUUGAGAGAACUCUGCUGAAGGAACUAGGCAAAAUGGUACCGUAACUUCGGGAGAAGGUACGCUGUUGUUGGUGAUGGAACUCGCUUCCUGAGCUGACGACAGCCGCAGAAACCAGGCCGCUGCAACUGUUUAUUAAAAACAUAGCACUCUGCAAACACGAAAGUGGACGUAUAGGGUGUGAUGCCUGCCCGGUGCUGGAAGGUUAAUUGAUGGGGUUAGCGUAAGCGAAGCUCUUGAUCGAAGCCCCAGUAAACGGCGGCCGUAACUAUAACGGUCCUAAGGUAGCGAAAUUCCUUGUCGGGUAAGUUCCGACCUGCACGAAUGGCAUAAUGAUGGCGGCGCUGUCUCCAGCAGAGGCUCAGUGAAAUCGAAAUCGCUGUGAAGAUGCAGUGUACCCGCGGCUAGACGGAAAGACCCCGUGAACCUUUACUGCAGCUUGACACUGAACUUUGACCUUACUUGUGUAGGAUAGGUGGGAGGCUUUGAAGCUGGAACGCUAGUUCCAGUGGAGCCGUCCUUGAAAUACCACCCUGGUAAUGUUGAGGUUCUAACUCUGUCCCGUGAUCCGGGACGAGGACCGUGUCUGGUGGGUAGUUUGACUGGGGCGGUCUCCUCCUAAAGAGUAACGGAGGAGUACGAAGGUGCGCUCAGCGUGGUCGGAAAUCACGCGUAGAGUAUAAAGGCAAAAGCGCGCUUAACUGCGAGACCCACAAGUCGAGCAGGUACGAAAGUAGGUCUUAGUGAUCCGGUGGUUCUGUAUGGAAGGGCCAUCGCUCAACGGAUAAAAGGUACUCUGGGGAUAACAGGCUGAUACCGCCCAAGAGUUCAUAUCGACGGCGGUGUUUGGCACCUCGAUGUCGGCUCAUCUCAUCCUGGGGCUGAAGCAGGUCCCAAGGGUAUGGCUGUUCGCCAUUUAAAGAGGUACGCGAGCUGGGUUUAGAACGUCGUGAGACAGUUCGGUCCCUAUCUACCGUGGGCGCUGGAAAUUUGAGAGGAUCUGCUCCUAGUACGAGAGGACCAGAGUGGACGAACCUCUGGUGUACCGGUUGUGACGCCAGUCGCAUCGCCGGGUAGCUAUGUUCGGAAGGGAUAACCGCUGAAAGCAUCUAAGCGGGAAGCCUACCUCAAGAUAAGAUUUCCCUAGGACUUUAUGUCCUCUAAAGAGCCGUUCGAGACUAGGACGUUGAUAGGUUGGAUGUGGAAGCAUAGUGAUAUGUGAAGCUGACCAAUACUAAUUGCUCGUGAGGCUUGACUAUACAACACCC